RNAcentral lists this unclassified non-coding RNA (418 nucleotides) under soil metagenome. RNAcentral's name for it is "partial contains 5.8S ribosomal RNA, internal transcribed spacer 2, and large subunit ribosomal RNA". The stretch from base 1 to 120 matches the Rfam family "5.8S ribosomal RNA", at positions 35 to 154 of the family's 154-position model. The record is from RNAcentral.
GAUGAAGAACGUAGCGAAAUGCAAUAAGUAAUGUGAAUUGCAGAAUUCAGUGAAUCAUCGAAUCUUUGAACGCAUCUUGCGCUCCUUGGUAUUCCUUGGAGCAUGCCUGUUUGAGUAUCAUGAGCAAAUCUCAAAGUCAAUUCCUUUUGUUGAUUCAAUUGGUUUUGCUUUGGACUUGGAGGCCUUGCAGAUUUCACAGUCUGCUCCUCUUAAAUGCAUUAGCUGGAUCUCAGUAAUUAUGCUUGGUUCCACUCGGCGUGAUAAGUAUCACUCGCUGAGGACACUGUUAAAAAGGUGGCCAGGAAAAUACUGAUUGAACCGCUUCUAACGGUCUAUUAAGUUAGACAAUUACCCUUAAGUUUGAUCUCAAAUCAGGUAGGACUACCCGCUGAACUUAAGCAUAUCAAUAAGCGGAGGA